AAUAUUGGACAAUGGGCGAAAGCCUGAUCCAGCCAUGCCGCGUUUGUGAAAAAGGUCUUCGGAUUUUAAAUCACUUUAAGUUGGGAGGAUGGGGUUGAAGCUAAUACCUUCAAUCUUUGACGUUACCAACAGAAUAAGCACCGGCUAACUCUGUACCAGCCGCCGCGGUAAUACAGAGGGUGCAAACGUUAAUCGGAAUUACUGGGCGGAAAGCGCACGUAGGUGGUUCGUUAAGUUGGAAGUGAAAGCCACGGGCUUAACCUGGGAAUUGCUUUCAAAACAGACGAGCUAGAGUACAGUAGAGGGUAGUGGAAUUUCCUGUGUAGCGGUGAAAUGCGUAGAUAUAGGAAGGAACACCAGUGGCGAAGGCGAGCACCUGGGCUAAUACUGAAACUGAGGUGCGAAAGCGUGGGGAGCAAACAGG
RNAcentral lists this ribosomal RNA (424 nucleotides) under uncultured bacterium. RNAcentral's name for it is "partial 16S ribosomal RNA". It matches the Rfam family "Bacterial small subunit ribosomal RNA", at positions 360 to 776 of the family's 1533-position model. The record is from RNAcentral.